AUGAUCAUGAACGCUACUUGCCCUGCCAAUGGUUCUCUCACCUUCCGGAGCAUUCUCCAUGUCCGAAAUUUGCUGCGGGAAGGUGCAGUGUGGCGUAUUGGAGAUGGAGCAAAGGUGAACAUCCACCAUGAUAACUGGAUCCCGCGCAGGAGCUGCCUUCGGCCACUGGGCCAGAGCUUCCUGCCCGGCACGACGCGUGUGGCGGACCUGCUAGCUGAAGAUGGCAAUACUUGGAACGACGCCAAGGUGGAUGAGAUGUUUUCUCCUGACGAUGCGGCUGAUAUCAAGCAAAUCCCGGUUGGAGGACAAGGGGUAGAUGAUUACCUAGCUUGGAACUACACCAAGGAUGGGGUCUACUCGGUCCGAUCGGCAUAUCACGUGGCUAUGAACAUGAGGAAGGCUUCUUCGGGCCGGCAAGGAUCUUCGUCUUCUGUCAAUUCCCACAAAAAUUGGCUGGCCGUGUGGGGUGCUCAUGUGCCGAACAAGGUUAAGAUACACGCCUGGAGGAUCAUGCGCAAUGGUUUGGCCACGGGGUCGGAACUGCUGCAUAGACGAAUCAAGCCGGGAGUGUUCUGUAUAGCGUGCGGGCGUGAGGAAACUUUGCUGCAUCGCUUCUGGAGCUGUCCUCACUCGCGGCAGUUUUUGGCCCGCGCUGGCUGA
RNAcentral lists this ribosomal RNA (660 nucleotides) under Triticum aestivum (bread wheat). RNAcentral describes it as "partial small subunit ribosomal RNA". Lineage: Eukaryota; Viridiplantae; Streptophyta; Magnoliopsida; Poales; Poaceae. The record is from RNAcentral.